This 1260-nucleotide long non-coding RNA is filed under the name Pongo abelii (Sumatran orangutan). Its description in RNAcentral is "lincRNA". The record is from RNAcentral. Lineage: Eukaryota; Metazoa; Chordata; Mammalia; Primates; Hominidae.
AACAGGUGUGGAGAGGAAGAGAGGAGCAAGCAUAUAUAUAUAUUUGGCAUUCCAGGAAGAUGGAGAUGGGAUUAUAGAAGUGCUGUUAGUACCAGGGACACUGGACAAGAAAGAUAAGCAAGCCACUGCUGUCUGAUUCCUACAUAGCUGGUUAAAGUGUUGCAUUCAUAAUUCCCAUUUCAGGAAGACUGAAAACCAGACUUUAUUCUGUUAGAUCCCAAGAUAUCAAGGAAGAGGAAAAGGGAAGAGCCCCCAGGCACUAUUGAACCGCAGCUACAAUCACUGCCGUUUGAAACUUCCCACCAAACAACUUUACUAAUCUGAUUUAAUUUCAACUCCCAGGGAGAGUUAGUAUUAGGACGAAGUACCUACCAUCCAUGAUAAUCCACCAGCUCUGGGGGUUUAGAAGGGAAAGGAUGGAGGUCUCAGUGCUUGAGGCUAGGCUGACAGCUGAGCAGGGCUCCAGCUCACCUUAAUCUCACUCCUGUGGGUACCUGCACUAGGAGCCUGAGCAUUCUCACAGAUCUCUGCAUAGGAGGCUGCCCUUAGGCAUUAUUAAGGUGUGAAAGCAGCAAGAAAGAGCAGAAUUAAACGGCUUUUCUCUAAUGUAUCCUUUUACAGCCCAGUGUAUUUUGCCCUAGGCUAGCCUUUUCUUCUCCUUUCACCUUCCACAUGCCAGUCCAAGACAGCCUUUCUUCUCACAGGAAUUAUUGUAUUAUUCUUAAAUUCUUUUUUUCUUCUCUAUGGCUUUUCUAGAGGAAACCUAACAGUGUGGGUUUAUCAACAAUUUUGACAAGACUCUGAAUUCCACUGAACAGAUUUUUGAAUAAAAAUUAUGAACAAAGAAAGUGUAGUAAAUCUGCUAAUAGAAAAACUGACUAUGCCUUGUGGGAAAAUUUCUGUGUGUGUGACAUUCCAUUGCGUACCUGCCAGAGAAGAAAACAAUUGGGCCUGUUACUCAAAUUGUUCAAUUUUAAAGCGGGUCCAUUGUUAUGAUUGGACUUUAUUCCAUUAUAAACACUUGCAAAAGGAUGACAUAAAGUGACAAUAUAAUAGAAUGAUUAUAUGUAAUGAAUUUACUGAAGAACCUCUACCUUUUGGAGUAUAAACAAUGUUUUGGAUUUUUUUGUUUGUUUGUUUUUCUCCCAUCAUUUUCAGCAGAGUUUUCUUGCAUUUCUCCUUGCAAGCCUUUUAAACAAUAUCAUCUACAAUUUUCUGCUUGCUUAUGAUUAUCAAAACUAAACCCAAUUCUAUUUAAAA